UAGGGAAUCUUCCACAAUGGGCGCAAGCCUGAUGGAGCAACACCGCGUGAGUGAAGAAGGGUUUCGGCUCGUAAAGCUCUGUUGUUGAAGAAGAACGUGCGUGAGAGUAACUGUUCACGCAGUGACGGUAUUCAACCAGAAAGUCACGGCUAACUACGUGCCAGCAGCCGCGGUAAUACGUAGGUGGCAAGCGUUAUCCGGAUUUAUUGGGCGUAAAGCGAGCGCAGGCGGUUGCUUAGGUCUGAUGUGAAAGCCUUCGGCUUAACCGAAGAAGUGCAUCGGAAACCGGGCGACUUGAGUGCAGAAGAGGACAGUGGAACUCCAUGUGUAGCGGUGGAAUGCGUAGAUAUAUGGAAGAACACCAGUGGCGAAGGCGGCUGUCUGGUCUGCAACUGACGCUGAGGCUCGAAAGCAUGGGUAGCGAACAGGAUUAGAUACCCUGGUAGUCCAUGCCGUAAACGAUGAGUGCUAGGUGUUGGAGGGUUUCCGCCCUUCAGUGCCGGAGCUAACGCAUUAAGCACUCCGCCUGGGGAGUACGACCGCAAGGUUG
RNAcentral lists this ribosomal RNA (550 nucleotides) under uncultured bacterium. RNAcentral's name for it is "bacterial SSU rRNA". It matches the Rfam family "Bacterial small subunit ribosomal RNA", at positions 355 to 896 of the family's 1533-position model. The record is from RNAcentral.